CCAUGAGUCUCCUAACUAGCCAGAAUAGAGCUUUAAAGUUUUAUGACAUUUCGUUAUGUAUCCUCUAUCUGUAUACAAAAUCCUGUAAAAUAGUUACUUGCCUGCAUUUACUGUCUUUGCAGAUAGCAGACUCCUUGAAAGCAGGGUCCUUGUUUAGUGCAUCUUUGCCCACAUACACCACAACAUAUCAAGAUGCAUUUAUUAGGAAGGAGGAGUUUAGAGAGCAGGCUAUCAGAAUAACCACUCAUCCUGUGCCUCCUGAUUGCUGAGUGUUCACCUGGACCUUCUGACUACCUUCCCUGUGCUAUUCCAUCAGCCUACAGACCUGGUACCUGGAUUUUUGCCCGAGAUGAUUCCUACCACCUUACUACUGACGAAGACACCCAUUCCAGUGGACCACUGUGACCCAGGAGGCAUUCAGCCAUCAUGAUGUGGCCUUUACCUCCACUCCUGUCUUGUUCUACCCAGAUUCAGCACAGCCCUUUAUAGUGAAGUCAGAGUCCUCAAGCCAAAUAGCUAAAGCUGUUUUAUCACAACAAAGGCCUAGUUUGUUCCAUGAGUGUGCAUUUCAUUUCUUCAGUUAAAGCCUUCAGAGACACACAAUAAAUUUGGACCAGGGGAUUUUUUAGUUAUUAAUGCUCUCUGAAGAAAGGCAACAUCUUUUUGAGAGCAGCAUUGGACCACACCCCACAAUCUCAAAUGAUUGAAAUUCAUGAACAUCUAGGAUCCCGUGAAGGUCACUGGACCCUGUUUUUUCUACUUCAAAUCCUGUAGUAGCCUACUGAAUGAGAAAACAUAUUCUGACCCAUUGGGAUCAAAUCAAAGGCACAGUGAACUCCUCAUAGCAUCUUCUUUGGAAUUACUCAGGAACCAGAACUUUUUACACAAAUGUAAGAAAUUCUACCAAGGAGUCCCCUUACCUAACAGCAUCUCACAAGGCUGCACCAGAUUCCAGAAAAGGCUUCUCUUGAUACAUCAAGGUAGAACCUCUAUGGUAAAUCCCUC
This 1005-nucleotide long non-coding RNA is filed under the name Homo sapiens (human). Its description in RNAcentral is "non-protein coding TUG1:30". The stretch from base 250 to 486 matches the Rfam family "Taurine upregulated gene 1 conserved region 3". Lineage: Eukaryota; Metazoa; Chordata; Mammalia; Primates; Hominidae. The record is from RNAcentral.